Molecule: transfer RNA, 73 nt
Filed under: Salmo salar (Atlantic salmon)
Lineage: Eukaryota; Metazoa; Chordata; Actinopteri; Salmoniformes; Salmonidae
Rfam family: tRNA
About the family: Transfer RNA (tRNA) molecules are approximately 80 nucleotides in length. Their secondary structure includes four short double-helical elements and three loops (D, anti-codon, and T loops).
Source: Rfam by way of RNAcentral
UUCCCUGUGGCUCAGUUGGUAGAGCAUGGUGUGUGCAACACCAGGGUUGUGGGUUCGAUUCCCACGGGGGACC